Molecule: ribosomal RNA, 492 nt
Filed under: uncultured bacterium
Lineage: Bacteria
Description: partial 16S ribosomal RNA
Rfam family: Bacterial small subunit ribosomal RNA
Source: RNAcentral
AGUGAACGCUGGCGGUAGGCCUAACACAUGCAAGUCGAACGGCAGCACAGUAAGAGCUUGCUCUUACGGGUGGCGAGUGGCGGACGGGUGAGGAAUACAUCGGAAUCUACUUUUUCGUGGGGGAUAACGUAGGGAAACUUACGCUAAUACCGCAUACGACCUACGGGUGAAAGCAGGGGAUCUUCGGACCUUGCGCGAUUGAAUGAGUCGAUGUCGGAUUAGCUAGUUGGCGGGGUAAAGGCCCACCAAGGCGACGAUCCGUAGCUGGUCUGAGAGGAUGAUCGGCCACACUGGAACUGAGACACGGUCCAGACUCCUACGGGAGGCAGCAGUGGGGAAUAUUGGACAAUGGGCGCAAGCCUGAUCCAGCCAUACCGCGUGGGUGAAGAAGGCCUUCGGGUUGUAAAGCCCUUUUGUUGGGAAAGAAAAGCAGCAGGUUAAUACCCCGCUGUUCUGACGGUACCCAAAGAAUAAGCACCGGCUAACUUCGUG